This 253-nucleotide ribosomal RNA is filed under the name uncultured bacterium. RNAcentral describes it as "partial 16S ribosomal RNA". It matches the Rfam family "Bacterial small subunit ribosomal RNA", at positions 524 to 776 of the family's 1533-position model. The record is from RNAcentral.
UACGUAGGGGGCUAGCGUUGUCCGGAAUCAUUGGGCGUAAAGCGCGCGUAGGCGGCCCGGUAAGUCCGCUGUAAAAGUCAAAGGCUCAACCUUUGAAUGUCAGUGGAUACUGCCGGGCUAGAGUCCGGAAGAGGCGAGUGGAACUCCUGGUGUAGCGGUGAAAUGCGCAGAUAUCAGGAGGAACACCGGUGGCGAAGGCGGUGAUCUGGGCCGGUACUGACGCUGAGGAGCGAAAGCGUGGGGAGCGAACAGG